Molecule: ribosomal RNA, 288 nt
Filed under: uncultured Methanosaeta sp.
Lineage: Archaea; Methanobacteriati; Methanobacteriota; Methanomicrobia; Methanotrichales; Methanotrichaceae
Description: partial 16S ribosomal RNA
Rfam family: Archaeal small subunit ribosomal RNA
Source: RNAcentral
ACGCCAACAGUUGCCAGCAUGUCCUCCGGGAUGAUGGGGACACUGUUGGGACCGCCGUCUGCUAAGAGGAGGAAGGAAUGGGCAACCGGUAGGUCAGUAUGCCCCGAAUAUCCCGGGCUACACGCGAGCUACAAUGGUUGGUACAAUGGGUAUCUACCCCCGAAAAGGGGACGGGAAUCUCCUAAAACCAAUCUUAGUUCGGAUUGAGGGCUGCAACUCGCCCUCAUGAAGCUGGAAUCCGUAGUAAUCGCGUUUCAACAGAACGCGGUGAAUACGUCCCUGCUCCUU